GAUGAACGCUGGCGGCGUGCCUAAUACAUGCAAGUCGAGCGAACAGACGAGGAGCUUGCUCCUCUGACGUUAGCGGCGGACGGGUGAGUAACACGUGGAUAACCUACCUAUAAGACUGGGAUAACUUCGGGAAACCGGAGCUAAUACCGGAUAAUAUAUUGAACCGCAUGGUUCAAUAGUGAAAGACGGUUUUGCUGUCACUUAUAGAUGGAUCCGCGCCGCAGUAGCUAGUUGGUAAGGUAACGGCUUACCAAGGCGACGAUGCGUAGCCGACCUGAGAGGGUGAUCGGCCACACUGGAACUGAGACACGGUCCAGACUCCUACGGGAGGCAGCAGUAGGGAAUCUUCCGCAAUGGGCGAAAGCCUGACGGAGCAACGCCGCGUGAGUGAUGAAGGUCUUCGGAUAGUAAAACUCUGUUAUUAGGGAAGAACAAAUGUGUAAGUAACUAUGCACGUCUUGACGGUACCUAAUCAGAAAGCCACGGCUAACUACGUG
RNAcentral lists this ribosomal RNA (497 nucleotides) under uncultured bacterium. Its description in RNAcentral is "partial 16S ribosomal RNA". It matches the Rfam family "Bacterial small subunit ribosomal RNA", at positions 28 to 507 of the family's 1533-position model. The record is from RNAcentral.